This 468-nucleotide ribosomal RNA is filed under the name uncultured bacterium. RNAcentral's name for it is "partial 16S ribosomal RNA". It matches the Rfam family "Bacterial small subunit ribosomal RNA", at positions 28 to 507 of the family's 1533-position model. The record is from RNAcentral.
GACGAACGCUGGCGGCGUGCUUAACACAUGCAAGUCGAACGGAAAGGCCCUGCUUUUGUGGGGUGCUCGAGUGGCGAACGGGUGAGUAACACGUGAGUAGCCUGCCCUUGACUUUGGGAUAACUUCAGGAAACUGGGGCUAAUACCGGAUAGGAGCUCCUGCUGCAUGGUGGGGGUUGGAAAGUUUCGGCGGUUGGGGAUGGACUCGCGGCUUAUCAGCUUGUUGGUGGGGUAGUGGCUUACCAAGGCUUUGACGGGUAGCCGGCCUGAGAGGGUGACCGGCCACAUUGGGACUGAGAUACGGCCCAGACUCCUACGGGAGGCAGCAGUGGGGAGUAUUGCACAGUGGGCGGAAGCCUGAUGCAGCAACGCCGCGUGCGGGAUGACGGCCUUCGGGUUGUAAACCGCUUUCGCCUGUGACGAAGCGUGAGUGACGGUAAUGGAUAAAGAAGCACCGGCUAACUACGUG